Molecule: transfer RNA, 74 nt
Filed under: Corynebacterium pseudotuberculosis
Lineage: Bacteria; Bacillati; Actinomycetota; Actinomycetes; Mycobacteriales; Corynebacteriaceae
Description: tRNA-Arg
Source: RNAcentral
CGGGGGCGCGUUUAUAGGCCCCGCCUUAACAGUAUUUUCACUGUCAAGGCGGGGCUCAUGCAUUGUGUUCUUUU